This 379-nucleotide unclassified non-coding RNA is filed under the name uncultured Bacteriovoracaceae bacterium. RNAcentral's name for it is "contains 16S-23S intergenic spacer region". Lineage: Bacteria; Pseudomonadati; Bdellovibrionota; Bacteriovoracia; Bacteriovoracales; Bacteriovoracaceae. The record is from RNAcentral.
UCCGGCUUAUCACCGGCAGUUUCUUUAGAGUGCCCAACUUAAUGCUGGCAACUAAAGAUAGGGGUUGCGCUCGUUGCGAGACUUAACCCAACAUUUCACAACACGAGCUGACGACAGCCAUGCAGCACCUGUCUCUGCAUUCCCUUGCGGGCACUCCGGGCAUUACCCCAGAUUCGCAGGAUUUCAAGCCUAGGUAAGGUUCUGCGCGUUGCUUCGAAUUAAACCACAUAAUCCACCGCUUGUGCGGGCCCCCGUCAAUUCCUUUGAGUUUUAGUCUUGCGACCGUACUUCCCAGGCGGAGUACUUAAUGCGUUAGCUGCGUCACUGAAGGAGUCAAUACCCCCAAUAACUAGUACUCAUCGUUUACGGCGUGGACUAC